This 925-nucleotide ribosomal RNA is filed under the name uncultured bacterium. RNAcentral's name for it is "bacterial SSU rRNA". It matches the Rfam family "Bacterial small subunit ribosomal RNA", at positions 8 to 916 of the family's 1533-position model. The record is from RNAcentral.
AGAGUUUGAUCCUGGCUCAGAUUGAACGCUGGCGGCACGCCUAACACAUGCAAGUCGAGCGGCAGCGAGGUGUGUAGCAAUACAUACUGUCGGCGAGCGGCGGACGGGUGAGUAAUACGUAGGAACCUACCCUAAAGAGAGGGACAACCUGGGGAAACUCGGGCUAAUACCUCAUGUUCUCGAGAGAGGAAAAGGUGCCUUGUUGAAAGACAAGGUGUUGCUUUAGGAAGGGCCUGCGUCCGAUUAGCUAGUUGGUGAGAUAAAAGCUUACCAAGGCGAGGAUCGGUAGCUGGUCUGAGAGGACGGCCAGCCACACUGGGACUGAGACACGGCCCAGACUCCUACGGGAGGCAGCAGUGGGGGAUAUUGGACAAUGGGGGCAACCCUGAUCCAGCGAUGCCGCGUGGGUGAAGAAGGCCUUCGGGUUGUAAAGCCCUUUAGGCGGGGAAAAAGGCAGUAGUCCGAAUAAGGCUAUUGAUUGAUGGUACCCGCAGAAUAAGCACCGGCAAACUCUGUGCCAGCAGCCGCGGUAAUACAGAGGGUGCGAGCGUUAAUCGGAAUAACUGGGCGUAAAGGGCGCGUAGGCGGUUGAUUAAGUGGUAGGUGAAAGCCCCGGGCUUAACCUGGGAAGUGCCUAUCAAACUGAUUAACUGGAGUGCAGGAGAGGGCGGUAGAAUUUCCGGUGUAGCGGUGAAAUGCGUAGAGAUCGGAAGGAAUGCCGGUGGCGAAGGCGACUGCCUGGCCUGACACUGACGCUGAGGCGCGAGAGCGUGGGGAGCGAACAGGAUUAGAUACCCUGGUAGUCCACGCUGUAAACGAUGAAGACUAGAUGUAGGUGGGGGAACUCAUCUGUAUCGAAGCUAACGCGAUAAGUCUUCCGCCUGGGAAGUACGGCCGCAAGGUUGAAACUCAAAUGAAUUGACGG